AUGCAAGUCGAGCGGAUGAGAGGAGCUUGCUCCUGGAUUCAGCGGCGGACGGGUGAGUAAUGCCUAGGAAUCUGCCUGGUAGUGGGGGACAACGUUUCGAAAGGAACGCUAAUACCGCAUACGUCCUACGGGAGAAAGCAGGGGACCUUCGGGCCUUGCGCUAUCAGAUGAGCCUAGGUCGGAUUAGCUAGUUGGUGAGGUAAUGGCUCACCAAGGCGACGAUCCGUAACUGGUCUGAGAGGAUGAUCAGUCACACUGGAACUGAGACACGGUCCAGACUCCUACGGGAGGCAGCAGUGGGGAAUAUUGGACAAUGGGCGAAAGCCUGAUCCAGCCAUGCCGCGUGUGUGAAGAAGGUCUUCGGAUUGUAAAGCACUUUAAGUUGGGAGGAAGGGUUGUAGAUUAAUACUCUGCAAUUUUGACGUUACCGACAGAAUAAGCACCGGCUAACUCUGUGCCAGCAGCCGCGGUAAUACAGAGGGUGCAAGCGUUAAUCGGAAUUACUGGGCGUAAAGCGCGCGUAGGUGGUUUGUUAAGUUGGAUGUGAAAUCCCCGGGCUCAACCUGGGAACUGCAUCCAAAACUGGCAAGCUAGAGUAUGGUAGAGGGUGGUGGAAUUUCCUGUGUAGCGGUGAAAUGCGUAGAUAUAGGAAGGAACACCAGUGGCGAAGGCGACCACCUGGACUGAUACUGACACUGAGGUGCGAAAGCGUGGGGAGCAAACAGGAUUAGAUACCCUGGUAGUCCACGCCGUAAACGAUGUCAACUAGCCGUUGGGAGCCUUGAGCUCUUAGUGGCGCAGCUAACGCAUUAAGUUGACCGCCUGGGGAGUACGGCCGCAAGGUUAAAACUCAAAUGAAUUGACGGGGGCCCGCACAAG
This 879-nucleotide ribosomal RNA is filed under the name Pseudomonas sp. RNAcentral's name for it is "bacterial SSU rRNA". It matches the Rfam family "Bacterial small subunit ribosomal RNA", at positions 55 to 929 of the family's 1533-position model. The record is from RNAcentral. Lineage: Bacteria; Pseudomonadati; Pseudomonadota; Gammaproteobacteria; Pseudomonadales; Pseudomonadaceae.